GGCCCCGUGGUGCAAUCUGUUACCACACCAGUCUGACACUGGUGGUCCCCGGUUGGAGUCCAGGCCAAAUCA
Molecule: non-coding RNA, 72 nt
Organism: Tuber brumale (winter truffle)
Lineage: Eukaryota; Fungi; Ascomycota; Pezizomycetes; Pezizales; Tuberaceae
Source: the annotation of a GenBank genome assembly